Molecule: ribosomal RNA, 496 nt
Filed under: uncultured bacterium
Lineage: Bacteria
Description: partial 16S ribosomal RNA
Rfam family: Bacterial small subunit ribosomal RNA
Source: RNAcentral
GAUGAACGCUGGCGGCGUGCCUAAUACAUGCAAGUCGAGCGAACAGACGAGGAGCUUGCUCCUUUGACGUUGGCGGCGGACGGGUGAGUAACACGUAGGUAACCUACCUAUAAGACUGGGAUAACUUCGGGAAACCGGAGCUAAUACCGGAUAAUAUUUCGAACCGCAUGGUUCGAUAGUGAAAGAUGGCUUUGCUGUCACUUAUAGAUGGACCUGCGCCGUAUUAGCUAGUUGGUAAGGUAACGGCUUACCAAGGCAACGAUACGUAGCCGACCUGAGAGGGUGAUCGGCCACACUGGAACUGAGACACGGUCCAGACUCCUACGGGAGGCAGCAGUAGGGAAUCUUCCGCAAUGGGCGAAAGCCUGACGGAGCAACGCCGCGUGAGUGAUGAAGGUCUGCGGAUCGUAAAACUCUGUUAUUAGGGAAGAACAAACGUGUAAGUAACUGUGCACGUCUUGACGGUACCUAAGCAGAAAGCCACGGCUAACUACGU